AUCCCUCCCAACACUCAGACUCCAUGAGAUGAGGAAUGCUCACUUAAGUCAUUCUGAACUGUUCCCUAUGGAAAAUAAAGUAUAAAAAGAAAUAGGUUGCCAGAGAAACAGUUCAGCUGGUAGAGCACAGGACUUGAAUGUCUGAAGCUCGUGGCUUAGUCCCUAGUAGCACGUAACUAGAAGUGGUGUUCUGGCUUUUCUCUCUCUCUCUUUCUGUCCCUCUCUCCUCUGGCUCUCAUAAAAUAAAAUGAAUCUUGGCAAAAAAAACAA
Erinaceus europaeus (western European hedgehog) is the source of this 270-nucleotide long non-coding RNA. RefSeq lists it as uncharacterized. The transcript is spliced from 2 exons. The record is from RefSeq and is a predicted model, not a curated record. NCBI's taxonomy places the organism in Eukaryota, Metazoa, Chordata, Mammalia, Eulipotyphla, Erinaceidae.